RNAcentral lists this ribosomal RNA (253 nucleotides) under uncultured bacterium. RNAcentral's name for it is "partial 16S ribosomal RNA". It matches the Rfam family "Bacterial small subunit ribosomal RNA", at positions 524 to 776 of the family's 1533-position model. The record is from RNAcentral.
UACGAAGGGGGCUAGCGUUGCUCGGAAUUACUGGGCGUAAAGCGUGCGCAGGCGGUUAUGCAAGACAGAUGUGAAAUCCCCGGGCUUAACCUGGGAACCGCAUUUGUGACUGCAUAGCUGGAGUACGGCAGAGGGGGAUGGAAUUCCGCGUGUAGCAGUGAAAUGCGUAGAUAUGCGGAGGAACACCGAUGGCGAAGGCAGUCCCCUGGGCCUGUACUGACGCUCAUGCACGAAAGCGUGGGGAGCAAACAGG